Long non-coding RNA from Dreissena polymorpha, 635 nucleotides. RefSeq lists it as uncharacterized. Lineage: Eukaryota; Metazoa; Mollusca; Bivalvia; Myida; Dreissenidae. The record is from RefSeq and is a predicted model, not a curated record. The transcript is spliced from 3 exons.
AAGCAGAACAUUUGGUUUUAUUGAACAACGAUUUUCAAAUUAACACUAUGCGACAAGAAAGUAAUUGUUGUUUUUUGUACUCAGAUAGAUUUACAUACAUGUAGCUAAAUGCUAUAAAUAGUUGUGUGUUUUGUAUGUACGAGAUAUGAAGUUAAUUGCGCGUGAAUUUCCGAAAACGACGAUAUUGUACUUUGAAGUAUUGACAGAUCGAUAGAACAACGUAACAUGCUCGUAUUGAGAUUUUCUGAAAAUGAAGACUAGUCCAGAGUAUAAAAUCAAGAAAGCUUUACAUUCACGGUUCAUUCGUAUUUGGAAGCUUUCUCACACUUAAUCAUUCAAACAAGCAGCUGAAUCAUGUCAAGUGGGCAACCAACGGGCGGACAUGGGGAAUCGAAGUCCGAUCUGGAAAAUAAGGGUGCCCAGUGUAACCCGAACAACCCGAGCUUCCAGGGCCACCAAACAGGGUACCCGGGCACAGGGACCAAAUCUGACCUUAAUAACCAUAGUGACCAACUGAAUUCGAACAACGAGCGGUUCCAACCAGCGAAGAAAUGAUUCGACGCGUGCGUUUGAGAAUGUGAUGCAUUGUCACGACUAUUUAUUCUUGUGAACGAAUAAAACAUACAAGCAUAAAA